GACGAACGCUGGCGGCGUGCUUAACACAUGCAAGUCGAACGGAAAGGCCCUGCUUUUGUGGGGUGCUCGAGUGGCGAACGGGUGAGUAACACGUGAGUAACCUGCCCUUGACUUUGGGAUAACUUCAGGAAACUGGGGCUAAUACCGGAUAGGAGCUCCUGCUGCAUGGUGGGGGUUGGAAAGUUUCGGCGGUUGGUGAUGGACUCGCGGCUUAUCAGCUUGUUGGUGGGGUAGUGGCUUACCAAGGCUUUGACGGGUAGCCGGCCUGAGAGGGUGACCGGCCACAUUGGGACUGAGAUACGGCCCAGACUCCUACGGGAGGCAGCAGUGGGGAAUAUUGCACAAUGGGCGGAAGCCUGAUGCAGCAACGCCGCGUGCGGGAUGACAGCCUUCGGGUUGUAAACCGCUUUCGCCUGUGACGAAGCGUGAGUGACGGUAAUGGGUAAAGAAGCACCGGCUAACUACGUG
Molecule: ribosomal RNA, 468 nt
Filed under: uncultured bacterium
Lineage: Bacteria
Description: partial 16S ribosomal RNA
Rfam family: Bacterial small subunit ribosomal RNA
Source: RNAcentral